RNAcentral lists this ribosomal RNA (319 nucleotides) under uncultured eukaryote. RNAcentral's name for it is "partial 18S ribosomal RNA". It matches the Rfam family "Eukaryotic small subunit ribosomal RNA", at positions 1470 to 1796 of the family's 1831-position model. The record is from RNAcentral.
UCCUUAGAUGUUCUGGGCAGCACGCGCGCUACAAUGGUCUUCGCAAACGGAUGCAUUCUCGAAGGAGAAUGCCAAUCUUGGAAUCUAUGCCUUGGUCGGGACAGUUGCUUGCAAUUUUUCGACUCGAACCAGGAAUUCCUUGUAAUCGUGACUCAUCACAUCACGAUGAAUACGUCCCUGCCCUUUGUACACACCGCCCGUCGCUCCUACCGAUCGAAGAGUUAGGUGAAUUGUUUUGAUCGAUAAGAUUUGACUAUGGUCAACUCUCGUUGUGAAAUUCUGUGAAUCUGACUGUUUAGAGGAAGGAAAAGUCGUAACA